RNAcentral lists this ribosomal RNA (383 nucleotides) under uncultured eukaryote. RNAcentral describes it as "partial 18S ribosomal RNA". It matches the Rfam family "Eukaryotic small subunit ribosomal RNA", at positions 592 to 976 of the family's 1831-position model. The record is from RNAcentral.
CAAUAGCGUAUGUUAAAGUUGUUGCGGUUAAAAAGCUCGUAGUUGGAUCUCGGCAGGCAGGGGGUGGUUCGCUCUUAGCGCUACUGCCCCAUUUGCCUGUGUGAUUGGCGGAGGUUUCGGGGUGCUCUUCGUUGAGUGACCCGGGGCGCCGUCAGGUUUACUUUGAAAAAAUUAGAGUGCUCAAAGCAGGCUUUUCACGCUUGAAUAUUCGUGCAUGGAAUAAUGGAAUAGGAACUCGUUUCUAUUUUGUUGGUUUUCGGAAAUCGAGUUAAUGAUUAAUAGGGACAAUUGGGGGCAUUAGUAUUCAGACGACAGAGGUGAAAUUCUUGGACCGUCUGAAGACUAACUACUGCGAAAGCAUUUGCCAAGAGUGUUUUCAUUAA